RNAcentral lists this ribosomal RNA (458 nucleotides) under uncultured bacterium. Its description in RNAcentral is "partial 16S ribosomal RNA". It matches the Rfam family "Bacterial small subunit ribosomal RNA", at positions 28 to 522 of the family's 1533-position model. The record is from RNAcentral.
GAUGAAUGCUGGCGGCGCGCCUAACACAUGCAAGUCGAGCGGAAAGGCCCUUCGGGGUACUCGAGCGGCGGACGGCUGAGUAACGCGUGGGAACAUGCCCCAAAGUGAGGAAUAACUGCCCGAAAGGGUAGCUAAUGCCGCAUAUGAUCUUCGGAUUAAAGGAUUUAUCCGCUUUGGGAGUGGCCCGCGUACGAUUAGGUAGUUGGUGAGGUAAAGGCUCACCAAGCCUACGAUCGUUAACUGGUCUGAGAGGAUGAUCAGUCAGACUGGAACUGAGACACGGUCCAGACUCCUACGGGAGGCAGCAGUGAGGAAUCUUCCACAAUGGGCGAAAGCCUGAUGGAGCGACGCCGCGUGCAGGAUGAAGGCCUUCGGGUUGUAAACUGCUUUUAUAAGUGAAGAAUAUGACGGUAACUUAUGAAUAAGCACCGGCUAACUACGUGCCAGCAGCCGCCGUA